This is a long non-coding RNA of Monopterus albus (swamp eel), 567 nucleotides long. RefSeq lists it as uncharacterized. NCBI's taxonomy places the organism in Eukaryota, Metazoa, Chordata, Actinopteri, Synbranchiformes, Synbranchidae. The transcript is spliced from 3 exons. The record is from RefSeq and is a predicted model, not a curated record.
UGAAUAUUACAUGUGUUACUUGUUACGCGAUUGGAUUUUCGACGCUGACAGUCCCUGUGCAGUCGAUUAUCUUUCAGUAUGGUAUACACGUGUUACACUAGACGUUAUCGGGAUCAACGCUGACAGUCACUGUGCUGUUGAUUUCGGAACCCAGGGCCCACUGCACCAGCGUAAGGUCUGACAGUCACUCUGAGGAUUUCAUCCUGGUACCUCACAGCAGUCAGGGUACCCUUGGCUAUGACGUGGAAGUCUGUGUGGCCCUCCAAGGAUAUGCUUUUCCAGAUGAUCACUGACCACCAAACCAGUCAUGCUCGAUGAUGUUACAGGUCCUCCUGUUACCUGCCAUCACCAGUCACCUACCUGCACAUCCUGAUCCUCUGGUCCUCCUGUUACCUGCCAUCCUCCUGCCAACUCACCUGCCUGCCGUGGUCCUCUGUCCAUCCUCAUCUCUGCUGCUUCCCCAGUCCUCCUGGUUCCUUGCCCCAGUCCUCCUGGUUCUUGCUUGACCUAACCUGCGUUACCUGGUGUUCUUCCUGCCAGCCCCGUGCCUGCUCGACCUCCUGCCAC